RNAcentral lists this ribosomal RNA (253 nucleotides) under uncultured bacterium. RNAcentral describes it as "partial 16S ribosomal RNA". It matches the Rfam family "Bacterial small subunit ribosomal RNA", at positions 524 to 776 of the family's 1533-position model. The record is from RNAcentral.
UACGGGGGGAGCAAGCGUUGUUCGGAUUUACUGGGCGUAAAGGGCGCGUAGGCGGCCAUCUAAGUCAGACGUGAAAUCCCCCGGCUUAACCUGGGAACUGCGUCUGAUACUGGAAGGCUCGAGUUUGGGAGAGGGAUGUGGAAUUCCAGGUGUAGCGGUGAAAUGCGUAGAUAUCUGGAGGAACACCGGUGGCGAAGGCGGCAUCCUGGACCAACACUGACGCUGAGGCGCGAAAGCUAGGGGAGCAAACGGG